ACGCUCGACACCUACGGGAGGUAGCAGUGGGGAAUAUUGCACAAUGGGGGAAACCCUGAUGCAGCGACGCCGCGUGAAGGAAGAAGUAUUUCGGUAUGUAAACUUCUAUCAGCAGGGAAGAAAAUGACGGUACCUGACUAAGAAGCCCCGGCUAAUUACGUGACAGCAGCCGCGGUAAUCUGAGCGGGCUGGCAAGGC
This 198-nucleotide ribosomal RNA is filed under the name uncultured bacterium. RNAcentral describes it as "partial 16S ribosomal RNA". It matches the Rfam family "Bacterial small subunit ribosomal RNA", at positions 328 to 539 of the family's 1533-position model. The record is from RNAcentral.